AUGCUAUAACCUUUAUUGAUGGGUACUUUACAUAUAGCAACACUCUUCUGAUUAAGGACUAUGUCUAUAUACUGGCAAGAAAUCACUGUGAAUUUCUCUGUUCUUGAUUUAGGUUUCCAAUGGAGGUGGGGGACUAAUCUUAGGAUUCGUCCUCAUCCCCAUCCACCAAUGGAGGGACUGAGAGAAUUCAGUCUGUAGGCUUGUUGCUGUAGAGCUGCACUAGGAACUUCACAGUAGAUGGUGUUGAGUAACCAGAGAAGAGCAAUUGAUCUGACUCCAUAAGUCUCCUUCCAUACACCAAACUGAUGAAGUAAUGGUUGUGGAAUAAGUCCUUGGAUCCACUGUCAAAGGGAGCUGCAUUGCUUCCAUCGCUGCUCGAUGGGCAGGCAGCCUGAAGCUCUCACAUGAAGCUGCUGCUCAGUCUCUUAUCCGGCAUGGCUGUGCUCUCGAAGUCGUCAUGUAAUCUGUGGCUGAAGAACAAGCACCUUGCUGAUCCAAUUGUGUGCCCACCUUCAUAUAUUUGGAUCAAAAGGGGAAGGCAAGGACUCAUCUCCUGAUUGGUUCACCACGACCCCGUAUCUUCUUCCGAGCAAAACCUUCCACAAUGGUCCACCACUCUGUUCAAUGGAAAUGCCACACAUGUUUCAGAAAGGAGUGCAUGUUUGGUGUCCAAAUAGGCCUCGGAAAACACUAACCAAGAUCACAGAGUCUCGAGCAACCAGGCCAACAAUAUCAGCGUACAAAGUUAGGGUAGCAAACUUUUCGCUGUUUCUUCCAUCCAAUAGUAUUGAUUGAUCACAAACAUGUAAGAAAAUCAUUACCGUAAAUGUUACAUACAGUAUACGAAAAAAUGCUACAAUGCUGUCGAAAAGUGUUUGCUAAUUCACUCAACAUUGACAAAGUAGUCAUGGAAGUGAAGCCGAAGCAGAGAAGCAGCCAUCCUCGUGUCAGUCUUGGCGAAUAAAAAUCCGGAAUGUGCUGAGAAGUUGUGGCGCCGCAUUGCGUUGCAGUGGCUACAAACAACGACCAAAAACUACCAUCGCUGCUGCUGCCGCCGUCGAUCACCGCUUCUGCCGCCGUCGCUCCCGCUCUCCAAUUUCUACGUUCUUCAUUUGCUCAAUUUUAUGGAUCCGAAGCACACAGGAGAUGUGCUCAAGCAUCUGGAGAAACAGCAUGAACUUCUGAUGGAAGCAUAUCGGUCGAUGUCUCAUGAGUUGCAUACACUCCAGGUGGAGGAAGAAAUGCUGAUGAAGAAGUAUUACGAAUAUAUGGUAGCUCAAGGUUUCGAGAAGAGCAAAACUUGCACAAAUGCAACAAACCUUGAUGGAUCUGGUCAAGCUGGAGCAAUAGUUCCUAUCACCAAGGAAGAACAACCUCAAGGAGGCCAAUGAAAAAAAUUCCUGUCCAAUAUUGUUUAUACGGGUUAUGCAUUUCAAGAUUUUCUGUAGUAUCAUUUUGCUCAAUUUCUCCAUUCAAUAGAGAUGGAUUUGGAAGAAAAUUCAAAUUUAAAAAAUAAUAUAUAUUACAUAUACGGAAACCUUUUUUUUUUUCUCACAGUAUACUUCCAUUCAUAAUUGGAUGGAAAGUUUUUGCUUCUUUUUUGUUUUGUUUUGUUAGAACUCCCAAGCUAGAGGCAUAAUUUUUUCUGGUUAUUUAGUUUGUUUCAUAUGUUACAACCAAGUAAGCUUCACGGGUUUUAACAGCAUUGAAACUGGAAUUUAAUUUCAAAAGUGAUGUAUGAGGUCUGAAAACCACUACUAUUUGAGUAUAUUUUAUUAUUAACAUAGCAAGCAAGUUCUUGCCUGGUGUUGAUCUCCAACCAUGGCCAACAGCAACAAGAAGGUCCCCAGCCAGAGACAGAAGACAAAGAUCGACAAAGCAGAUAACUCAAGUAUGACAUGCAGUGAAAAUCCAGUCGAACCUCAUAGUGGAAGGACAAGCAGGCAGAUCUAAGGACAGAAUAGCUUAAUAUAAAUUUGUCUGGUUCAGAUUAGCAUGGAAUCCCAGUCUGCUAAAAAAGUCUCCAUUAGAGACAGUUGGAAGCGGAAAUCAAAAUGUCCUUAAUCUAUAAGCAGAAAACGGAAGUCCACAAAUCAUAAUUGCCACAAUGAUCCAUCUCACUAGAAAAGAACAAAUCUGCAAUGAUUAUAAUCUGCAACCACUGUAAAUAUUCAAGUCACUCAUGAGUAUAUGUAAUUAUUCAUGCUUAGCAGACUUAUUAUUGAUUUCUUUGUAUUAUAUGGUAUGAGGAUUUGCAGAAAUGUUGAGGGGAAAAACAGAAGCAGGUGCUUACCGGGGUCUUGAGUUGAUGAGCGUAGCAGCCCACCUAAAGCCACAAGAACCACCGUUCUUCUUAGUCUUCUGCCAGUAUUAACUGUUGAAACCAUAAGAUGCAUGUGCCACAAGAACCUCAGAGAAUCAUACCAUAAAACUCCUGCACAAGUAAGUGGAUGGUGAUGCCUUGAAGGCUCCCCACUUUCAUCGCAUCACAGAAAUCCUCCCAUUGAUUUCUCCAUUUGAACUUUCCUCCAAGAAAUCCUCUCUUCGUUGUUCUGUCCAAAAAUGCUGGUGGAAAGAGCGCAUUUUCUCCUCCUGUGCUGGCUUAUGCGGUGAGAUUGGAUUGAACUUAAAUAGUUUGGUGUCUGAAACUAUACCAGAUCAUCGAGAUUCCCAGACUCUGUCGAAAAGAGAGAAGUUCCAUAGAAAGAGAUUUCUUGCUUUGCUACUAAUCCUGCCAUGUACAUGUGAGAAUGAAUGUUGAUGAAACAGCAACAGCACAAUUUGUUCAGGCUCCUAAUUCGGAGAGCAGAAUUCUAUUUUAUUAAGUAUUGUUGGUUGUUAGAAAAAUUUUCAAUCCUAUUAUGUAUAUGUGAGUGAUUGUUGGAAAUUGAUGAUCUUGAUAAGGUAACCAGGAUGCCCUUUUAAAAUGUGUUCGGAAAUUGGUUAUGAUUAUAUGUU
Molecule: RNA transcript, 2958 nt
Organism: Andrographis paniculata
Lineage: Eukaryota; Viridiplantae; Streptophyta; Magnoliopsida; Lamiales; Acanthaceae
Exons: 12
Source: RefSeq, a predicted model, not a curated record